GUCUUUUUGUAUUUUAUUUAAAGUCUAGCCUGCCCACUGAAAUUAUUUUAAAUGGCCGCAGUAAUUUGACUGUGCAAAGGUAGCAUAAUAAUUAGUUUUUUAAUUAAGAGCUAGUAUGAAAGGUUGGACGAAGUAAAUUCUGUCUCUAUUUAAUUUAAAUUAGAAUUUAAUUUUUAAGUUAAAAAGCUUAAAUGUUUAUAAAAGACGAGAAGACCCUAUAGAGCUUUAUAUUUUUAAUAAUAUAAUUAUAUUAAGAUUUAAUUAUUUUUUAUUAUUAAAAUUAUUUUAUUGGGGUAAUAGAAAGAUUUAAAUAAUUCUUUUUUAUUAUUUAUAUUUAUUUAUAGAAUUAUUGAUCCAAUUUUAUUGAUUAUAAGAUUAAGUUACCUUAGGGAUAACAGCGUAAUUUUUUUGAAGAGUUCUUAUCGAUAAAAAAGUUUGCGACCUCGAUGUUGGAUUAAAGAUUAUUUUUGGUGUAGAAGUUAAAAAUUUUGGUCUGUUCGACCAUUGAAUCUUUACA
This 517-nucleotide ribosomal RNA is filed under the name Merizodus soledadinus. RNAcentral's name for it is "partial 16S ribosomal RNA". The stretch from base 391 to 517 matches the Rfam family "Bacterial large subunit ribosomal RNA", at positions 2473 to 2600 of the family's 2925-position model. The record is from RNAcentral. Lineage: Eukaryota; Metazoa; Arthropoda; Insecta; Coleoptera; Carabidae.